RNAcentral lists this ribosomal RNA (245 nucleotides) under uncultured bacterium. RNAcentral's name for it is "partial 16S ribosomal RNA". It matches the Rfam family "Bacterial small subunit ribosomal RNA", at positions 524 to 768 of the family's 1533-position model. The record is from RNAcentral.
GACAGAGGGUGCAAACGUUGUUCGGAAUUACUGGGCGUAAAGCGCGUGUAGGCGGCUUUGCAAGUCGGAUGUGAAAGCCCUGGGCUUAACCUGGGAAGUGCAUUCGAAACUGCCGAGCUCGAGUCCUGGAGAGGAUGGCGGAAUUCUCGGUGUAGAGGUGAAAUUCGUAGAUAUCGAGAGGAACACCGGUGGCGAAGGCGGUCAUCUGGACAGUGACUGACGCUGAGACGCGAAAGCGUGGGGAG